AAAAAAACCAACCCUAAACGGUUGGAAUGAAAUUCUCCAGACCCUAAGCUUUGUUUCACAUGAAUUGUUUGCUAUGUUUUCACAGCUCGGGAGCUCUGCUGCCACCAGCUCUGACCUCCGUGGGCAAGAGUUGCUGCCUGAAAACUUCAUUUAUUGGUGAAACUCUCCAAAAUCUUUCUGGUUUCCUCUCCCUUGGAUUGCCAACUGUCUUCUGACCAGCAAGAGGAAAUGCUUGAACACGUGAGAGGUACCAGAGCUCUGCCAGGGGCUGCCUGACCGGCAGCUGUGCCAAACCACAGCUGUUUGAUCGUGAAGUGCAAGAGAGGAGCAGCGCGGCCGCAGCGUGGGCCCUGAGAGGCAGAGUGCAUCCAUCAAGCUUGACUCGGUGAUCCGUGUUGCUUUAUGGAGGUGGUAGAGCCAGCCCACCCUCGGAGGUGAGCCCUC
RNAcentral lists this long non-coding RNA (444 nucleotides) under Gallus gallus (chicken). Lineage: Eukaryota; Metazoa; Chordata; Aves; Galliformes; Phasianidae. The record is from RNAcentral.